UACAGAGGGUGCAAGCGUUAAUCGGAAUUACUGGGCGUAAAGGGUGCGUAGGUGGUUUGUUAAGUCAGGUGUGACAUCCCUGGGCUCAACCUGGGAACUGCAUUUGAUACUGGCAGACUCGAGUCUGGUAGAGGGUAGUGGACUUCCGCAUGUAGCGGUGAAAUGCGUAGAGAUGUGGAGGAACACCGAUGGCGAAGGCAGCCCCCUGGGCUAACACUGACGCUCAUGCACGAAAGCGUGGGGAGCAAACAGG
This 253-nucleotide ribosomal RNA is filed under the name uncultured bacterium. Its description in RNAcentral is "partial 16S ribosomal RNA". It matches the Rfam family "Bacterial small subunit ribosomal RNA", at positions 524 to 776 of the family's 1533-position model. The record is from RNAcentral.